GACCUUGCGAAGAGUCUGCUCAGAGGCCGUGGGUCUGCUGGCACUGCAUGGGCGCAGAUGCUGGGCAGAUGAGCUCUGUGUGGUGUUUUAGACAAAUAUGAUGACCUAGAGUAGGGCCAAACAGACAGGAGAGCCCAGGAAGCAGACCCUGGGAGAGGGGAGAUACCAGUUGGGCCAGCACACCUGAGGCUAUGGUCAAGGCCAUGAGGACCACAGUGUGGUGGGCACGGUGGCUGUGAAAGCCCCACUGCUGCCCAGCCAGCCCGAGACAAGCCAUGGGGAAGCACUCACCGGCCAGCCCCGUCAUAAUCUCCGCCAAUCCCGAUGAACUUGCAUCCAGUGACUGCCCUGAUGUGGUCGAAGUGAUCUGAAGAAUGGGAAGUCAGCAGUGUGGGGCUUCCAGGGCAGGGGUGGGGGUGAUGACUGGCCUCUGUUGAUUCCCCUUUUUGCAGCCUGUAGGCCAAACAGUCCAGUUCCUUCGUGGCCUGGCACCGAGAGUACCAACUCGAGGGCCCUGAGGUUUGAUCUGAAGUGAUCCCAGCUGGCUCUAGACUGGACUUCAGAUUUGGAGUGGACCCCAGAGCCCCCUGUUUGGGCCAUUUCCCACCCACGAUUCACCCUGCCUCCCAGUCUCCUUGAGAACCUGUGGGGGCUCCUUUCCCCGGGUGUGGAGGAUGAGAGAGGAACAAGAGUACAACUGAUGAAGACCCCAGAGACCUAAGGAGCUGUCCAGUCCCUUGGCCAGAGGCUGUGGUCUCCUCGGAAGCUUUGGUGGGAUGCAGGCAGCAUCUGGGAGAAGGCGCCUCGGAACUCACGUGCCCGCGUUGCCCAGGACCCCAAUUCCUUCCACCUCUCGGAUGCUGCUUUCUUUUCCCAGGGACAGAGCCAAGCUGUAAUUGACUCCUUGGGUAUUUCAAAGUCCCUGAUCCCAAGACUGAAGGAUGACUGCCUGCUGUUGUGAAAGGUGCGCUGAAUCGACAGUCCUGAGUUUUGAAGUUUUCCUGGAGGGGACGUGAGGGGAUUUCUCCAGGAUCGAUGGAACUCCUUUUGUGGUGCUUCAGUGCUUCCACCAUGAAGCGCUCAUUUCCCUAUGCACGUCCCCCCGCCCCACCCCACUGUUUCCUUUACUCUCUCUCCUCCCACCCCCAAUUCCCAGAAGAAGAUCUAGGAAUCAGGUCCAAACAUAAGAUCUUUGGAGAAUCCUUGCGUGUGUUUUUUUAAAUUUUUAUUGGAGUAUAGUUGAUUUACAAUGUUGUGUUAGUUCCGGGUGUACAGCAAAGUGAAGCAGUUAUACAUAUACAUAUAAUCCACUCUUUUUUAGACUCUUUUCCCAUACAGGUCAUUACAGAGUACUGAGUAGAGUUCCCUGUGCUAUACCGUAGGUCCUGAUUAGUCAUCUAGUUUAUAGGUAGUGUUGUGUAUAUGUCAAUCCCAAUCUCCCAAUUUAUCCCUCUCCCCUCCCCACUUUCCCCCCCUGGUAACCAUAAGUUUGUUUUCUACACCUGUGACUCUAUUUCGAAUCCUUGUGUUUUACUCUCGUCCUGAAACUAGAUAAAGCCUAGUCAUCAAUCAACAGGUGAGGAAGUAGAGCCAGGCAUUGGUUGAGUGUUGAUGUUUCUGGUACAAGCUGACUCUCCGCUCAUCAUCCCACACCUUCAUCAGCCAUCAUCAUGCUGUCUGUCACCUCCUCUUCUCUGAAGAAGGCCCGGGCCAUCUUUUGAAAAUACAAAGUCCAGCAUUGAGACCCUCCCAACUGAGAGAGCAGGAAGGGCCAGGGCUGCUGAGGUGCUCCCUGAACCCCACUCAGGGGAUCUGUGUUGUUCCCACCUGGGUGUAUUGUGUGGACCCCCUAAAAUUCCUCCAAACCUCUGCCUCUGCGCUUCCAGAUUGCCCCUGAUAGAAAUGAACAAUAAUCAUAAUACCCACCACGUACUGACCGCUGGUCUCUUGAGGGCUGCCUUGCCAUUGGACAACAUUUGUUGAGCUCCUACUGUUUGCCAGACAGCGGGUACAUGCUUUAUGUGUGUUUAGCCCUUCUGACAACACUGUGAUUUAGGACCUGUUAAUAUGUCUAUUUUGCUGAAAUGGAAACUGAGGUUCAGAGUGGUUAAAUAACAAGGAAAAGUCCAUGUUUUUACCCCCUACACUAAUAUAUAUGUAUAUUUGUGUAUAUAUAUUCUAUAUAUGUAUAUUUAACAUGUAUAUGAUGUUGACUGAAAAAAAUGCACAACCUCAAAGUUGAGAAAUAUGUUUUAUUGGGUGGGCAAAACUGAGGACUUAAGCCUGGGACACAGCCUCUCAGCUCUCUCUGAGGGACUGAUCCAAAAAGGAGAGGGAGGAGCCAUCAACUAUAGGAGUUUUUGCAACAAAGACCAGGUAAUCGGAACAUGGAAAGAUUCCUGUUAAUUAAAGAAAACCAGACAUCUCGA
Balaenoptera ricei (Rice's whale) is the source of this 2429-nucleotide long non-coding RNA. RefSeq lists it as uncharacterized. The record is from RefSeq and is a predicted model, not a curated record. Lineage: Eukaryota; Metazoa; Chordata; Mammalia; Artiodactyla; Balaenopteridae. The transcript is spliced from 3 exons.